This 426-nucleotide ribosomal RNA is filed under the name uncultured bacterium. RNAcentral describes it as "bacterial SSU rRNA". It matches the Rfam family "Bacterial small subunit ribosomal RNA", at positions 356 to 773 of the family's 1533-position model. The record is from RNAcentral.
GGGGAAUAUUGGACAAUGGGGGGAACCCUGAUCCAGCCAUGCCGCGUGUGUGAAGAAGGCCUUAUGGUUGUAAAGCACUUUAAGCGAGGAGGAGGCUCUUCUAGUUAAUACCUAGGAUGAGUGGACGUUACUCGCAGAAUAAGCACCGGCUAACUCUGUGCCAGCAGCCGCGGUAAUACAGAGGGUGCGAGCGUUAAUCGGAUUUACUGGGCGUAAAGCGUACGUAGGCGGCUUUUUAAGUCGGAUGUGAAAUCCCUGAGCUUAACUUAGGAAUUGCAUUCGAUACUGGGAAGCUAGAGUAUGGGAGAGGAUGGUAGAAUUCCAGGUGUAGCGGUGAAAUGCGUAGAGAUCUGGAGGAAUACCGAUGGCGAAGGCAGCCAUCUGGCCUAAUACUGACGCUGAGGUACGAAAGCAUGGGGAGCAAAC